GAGUCCUGAGGAGAGGAGAGGUCCACCACUGGAGUCCUGAGGGGAGGAGAGGUCCACCACUGCAGUCCAAAGGGAAGGAGAGGUCCACUACUGGAGUCCCGAGGGAAGGAGAGGUCCAACACUGGAGUCCCGAGGGGAGGAGAGGUCCACUACUGGAGUCCCGAGGGAAGGAGAGUUCCAACACUGGAGUCCCGAGGGGAGGAGGGGUCCACCACUGGAGUCAUGAGGGGAUGAGAGGUCCUCCACUGGAGUCCCGAGGGGAGGAGAGGUCCACCACUGGAGUCCUGAGGGGAGGAGAGGUCCACCACUGGAGUCAUGAGGGGAGGAGAGGUCCACCACUGGAGUCAUGAGGGGAGGAGAGG
Oncorhynchus tshawytscha (Chinook salmon) is the source of this 362-nucleotide long non-coding RNA. The record is from Ensembl. Lineage: Eukaryota; Metazoa; Chordata; Actinopteri; Salmoniformes; Salmonidae.